CUUCAGCCUCUCUCCCCCACUGUUGGUGGAGUUGUAGUACUCUAGCGUGUAGUUCCCCAGGCCAGCUGUCUGGAAUAGUACGGGCAGAAGAUCCACCAGGAACCCGUAGAAGGCUGCAUUGCCUCUCCUAGUUCCGUCGAUGAACACAAAAGGAGGCCUGGGCAGGACACGACCUCUAUCAAUCACCACGUCACAAAGGUACUUGAAUGUGGUAAUUUGGGAGUUGUAGCCCGUGAGCCAGGAUCCCAGGGUAGACCUGAGCAUGGCCUUCUGAACUGUAGAAGUAUUUGCGGGCCUGACACAACAGGAAUUUAGAAGGCCUAGGAAAGCAUUGUGAAUGCAUGUGCGAGAAGAUUGGAAUGGACAGGUCAGAGGACGGAAGUCACGAUCUUCCUGAACCCCACCAGCUCUCUCAGGAGGCACUCGGUUACUGAUGUUGGAUAUUGAAGUGAUCAAGGUUCCCCUUUCCUAAACAGCUAAACGGAGACAAUGCAGAGUGCUUGCCCUAAGCAGCGGAUUAAAUAAACAUCAAUAAACUGAGUGAGAGCACCUGAUGCCAUUGGAAUUUUUGCGUUCUCAUGCCCAAGGAUUCGGCAUGAGUUCAUCCUUGAUCUGGUGCACUUGAUAAACCCUUUUCGUUGUGGGGUCCUACGCACAGCUGUGAAAAGAUAUACAACAAUGGAGAUUUUCCAAGUAAUAUAAGUGCUGUUAUGUUGCAAGUAAAUCACCUGUGGGCCGCAACCACACGGAGAAUGCUCGAACUCACAUUCGACAUCAGAUCACGGCGUGUCACAUAUUGUUAGGAUGGCUAAGAAUGUGCUCCGGUAUAUACGACAUAUCUAUGAGCAUUGCAGGUUUUCUACUUGAACGGUGGAGUAGCCUCUACUGAAGCCUUU
Molecule: long non-coding RNA, 896 nt
Filed under: Coccomyxa subellipsoidea
Lineage: Eukaryota; Viridiplantae; Chlorophyta; Trebouxiophyceae; Coccomyxaceae
Description: long non-coding RNA (CSUB_LNC000549)
Source: RNAcentral